GGCUCGUUGGUCAAGCGGUUAAGACACGGCCCUUUCACGGCUGUAACAGGGGUUCGAUUCCCCUACGAGUCA
RNAcentral lists this transfer RNA (72 nucleotides) under Clostridiales bacterium. Its description in RNAcentral is "tRNA-Glu". It matches the Rfam family "tRNA". From Rfam's summary of the family: Transfer RNA (tRNA) molecules are approximately 80 nucleotides in length. Their secondary structure includes four short double-helical elements and three loops (D, anti-codon, and T loops). Further hydrogen bonds mediate the characteristic L-shaped molecular structure. tRNAs have two regions of fundamental functional importance: the anti-codon, which is responsible for specific mRNA codon recognition, and the 3' end, to which the tRNAs corresponding amino acid is attached (by aminoacyl-tRNA synthetases). tRNAs cope with the degeneracy of the genetic code in two manners: having more than one tRNA (with a specific anti-codon) for a particular amino acid; and 'wobble' base-pairing, i.e. permitting non-standard base-pairing at the 3rd anti-codon position. The record is from RNAcentral. Lineage: Bacteria; Bacillati; Bacillota; Clostridia; Eubacteriales.